RNAcentral lists this ribosomal RNA (444 nucleotides) under uncultured soil bacterium. RNAcentral's name for it is "bacterial SSU rRNA". It matches the Rfam family "Bacterial small subunit ribosomal RNA", at positions 26 to 518 of the family's 1533-position model. The record is from RNAcentral.
AGAACGAACGCUGGCGGCAUGCCUAAUACACGCAAGUCGAACGAAGGCUUCGGCCUUAGUGGCGCACGGGUGCGUAACGCGUGGGAAUCUGCCCCUUGGUUCGGAAUAACAGUUGGAAACGACUGCUAAUACCGGAUGAUGACGAAAGUCCAAAGAUUUAUCGCCAAGGGAUGAGCCCGCGUAGGAUUAGCUAGUUGGUGAGGUAAAGGCUCACCAAGGCGACGAUCCUUAGCUGGUCUGAGAGGAUGAUCAGCCACACUGGGACUGAGACACGGCCCAGACUCCUACGGGAGGCAGCAGUAGGGAAUAUUGGACAAUGGGCGAAAGCCUGAUCCAGCAAUGCCGCGUGAGUGAUGAAGGCCUUAGGUUGUAAAGCUCUUUUACCCGAGAUGAUAAUGACAGUAUCGGAGAAUAAGCCCCGGCUAACUCCGUGUCAGCAGCCGC